GCGGCGGACGGGUGAGUAACACGUGGGCAACCUGCCCUGCAGACUGGGAUAACUUCGGGAAACCGGAGCUAAUACCGGAUAACACCGAAAACCGCAUGGUUUUCGGUUGAAAGGCGGCUUUUAGCUGUCACUGCAGGAUGGGCCCGCGGCGCAUUAGCUAGUUGGUGAGGUAACGGCUCACCAAGGCGACGAUGCGUAGCCGACCUGAGAGGGUGACCGGCCACACUGGGACUGAGACACGGCCCAGACUCCUACGGGAGGCAGCAGUAGGGAAUCUUCCGCAAUGGACGAAAGUCUGACGGAGCAACGCCGCGUGAGCGAAGAAGGUCUUCGGAUCGUAAAGCUCUGUUGUCAGGGAAGAACAAGUUCCGUUCGAACAGGGCGGUACCUUGACGGUACCUGACGAGGAAGCCACGGCUAACUACGUGCCAGCAGCCGCGGUAAUACGUAGGUGGCAAGCGUUGUCCGGAAUUAUUGGGCGUAAAGCGCGCGCAGGCGGUUCCUUAAGUCUGAUGUGAAAUCUCGCGGCUCAACCGCGAGCGGCCAUUGGAAACUGGGGAACUUGAGUGCAGGAGAGGGGAGCGGAAUUCCACGUGUAGCGGUGAAAUGCGUAGAGAUGUGGAGGAACACCAGUGGCGAAGGCGGCUCUCUGGCCUGUAACUGACGCUGAGGCGCGAAAGCGUGGGGAGCGAACAGGAUUAGAUACCCUGGUAGUCC
RNAcentral lists this ribosomal RNA (717 nucleotides) under Aeribacillus sp. KS04. RNAcentral's name for it is "bacterial SSU rRNA". It matches the Rfam family "Bacterial small subunit ribosomal RNA", at positions 95 to 796 of the family's 1533-position model. The record is from RNAcentral. Lineage: Bacteria; Bacillati; Bacillota; Bacilli; Caryophanales; Bacillaceae.